UACGAAUCGUCCAAACGUUGUUCGGAUUCACUGGGUUUAAAGGGCGCGUAGGCGGUGCGUUAAGUCGGCGGUGAAAUACUUCGGCUCAACCGGAGAAUUGCCGCUGAAACUGGCGUGCUCGAGGGAGGUAGAGGUGCGUGGAACUUCCGGUGGAGCGGUGAAAUGCGUAGAGAUGUGGAGGAACACCAAUGGCGAAGGCAGCCCCCUGGGAUAACACUGACGCUCAGGCACGAAAGCGUGGGGAGCAAACAGG
This 253-nucleotide ribosomal RNA is filed under the name uncultured bacterium. RNAcentral's name for it is "partial 16S ribosomal RNA". It matches the Rfam family "Bacterial small subunit ribosomal RNA", at positions 524 to 776 of the family's 1533-position model. The record is from RNAcentral.